AGUCAGUUUAGCAGGAGCCCCUCAGCCUACGUAUAGGAUCACCUCUAUACCUGCUCCUUUCCUAUGACAGGUGUCACUGUUAUAGAGGUGGCACUGGCUGCAGGAGAGAUGCAUGGGGUCAGAAUUGGGCAGAAUUAUAAGACCCUAGCUGGAUCAAGGGUUGCACGGUGUGAGGAAAAACCCACUGCGACCACACCUCCUUCAGCAGCAGGGCUUUUUUCCUUGGAGAUCCUUUAUAUGUCGUGCACAUCCACGCUCUCCAACACCUGCCACACCAGAAUCUUUUAGACAUUUUCUCUCCUGGGGAUCUGAAAUGACCAUGUGACCCUUGCUGAAGAAUGCACCACCAUGGCCGCGCUGGCGA
Molecule: long non-coding RNA, 364 nt
Filed under: Fukomys damarensis (Damara mole-rat)
Lineage: Eukaryota; Metazoa; Chordata; Mammalia; Rodentia; Bathyergidae
Description: lncRNA (ENSFDAG00000029286.1)
Source: RNAcentral